Molecule: ribosomal RNA, 1533 nt
Rfam family: Bacterial large subunit ribosomal RNA
CCGGUCUAACGCUCGACCCCAUGCUGGUGCGGUUAGCGUAUGAACAGGUGUGACGCAGGAAGGUAGCUGAGCCAGGCGAUGGUAUCCGUAAGGUGAACCUGGUGUAAGGAUGUAGGGCUGACGAUAGGCAAAUCCGUCGUCUGUGUGCCUGAGAUCCGACGCGUACCCGUAAGGGGAAAUCAGUGAUCCUAUGCUGCCGAGAAAAGCAUCGACGCGAGGUUGCAGCCGCCCGUACCCGAAACCGACUCAGGUGGUCAGGUAGAGAAUACCAAGGAGAUCGAGAGAAUCGUGGUUAAGGAACUCGGCAAAAUGCCCCCGUAACUUCGGGAGAAGGGGGGCCGGACACGUGACCGGAUUUACUCCGUGAGCGUUGAAGGCCGCAGAGACCAGUGGGAAGCGACUGUUUACUAAAAACACAGGUCCGUGCGAAGUCGCAAGACGAUGUAUACGGACUGACGCCUGCCCGGUGCUGGAAGGUUAAGAGGAAGGGUUAGCCUUUGGGCGAAGCUCUGAAUUUAAGCCCCAGUAAACGGCGGUGGUAACUAUAACCAUCCUAAGGUAGCGAAAUUCCUUGUCGGGUAAGUUCCGACCUGCACGAAUGGCGUAACGACUUCCCAGCUGUCUCAACCGCGAACUCGGCGAAAUUGCACUACGAGUAAAGAUGCUCGUUACGCGCAGCAGGACGGAAAGACCCCGUGACCUUUACUACAGUUUGGUAUUGGUGUUCGGAGUGGCUUGUGUAGGAUAGGUGGGAGACUGUGAAGCGGGCACGCUAGUGUUCGUGGAGUCAUUGUUGAAAUACCACUCUGGUCACUUUGGAUGUCUAACGUAGGACCCUGAUCGGGUUCAUGGACAGUGCCUGAUGGGUAGUUUAACUGGGGCGGUUGCCUCCCAAAGAGUAACGGAGGCGCCCAAAGGUUCCCUCAACCUGGUUGGCAAUCAGGUGGCGAGUGUAAGUGCACAAGGGAGCUUGACUGUGAGACUGACAGGUCGAGCAGGGACGAAAGUCGGGACUAGUGAUCCGGCAGUGGCUUGUGGAAGCGCUGUCGCUCAACGGAUAAAAGGUACCUCGGGGAUAACAGGCUGAUCUUGCCCAAGAGUCCAUAUCGACGGCAUGGUUUGGCACCUCGAUGUCGGCUCGUCGCAUCCUGGGGCUGGAGUAGGUCCCAAGGGUUGGGCUGUUCGCCCAUUAAAGCGGUACGCGAGCUGGGUUUAGAACGUCGUGAGACAGUUCGGUCCCUAUCCGCUGCGCGCGUUGGAAAUUUGAGAAGAUCUAUCCCUAGUACGAGAGGACCGGGAUGGACGAACCUCUGGUGUGUCAGUUGUUCUGCCAAGGGCACCGCUGAUUAGCUACGUUCGGACCGGAUAACCGCUGAAAGCAUCUAAGCGGGAAGCCGUCUUCGAGAUGAGAUUUCCAUGCACCUUGAGUGUGAGAGGCUCCCAGCAGACUACUGGGUUGAUAGGCCGGAUGUGGAAGCGGGGACUAACGACCCGUGGAGCUGACCGGUACUAAUAAGCCGAAGACUUGAUAAC